GACAGAGGGUGCAAACGUUGUUCGGAAUUACUGGGCAUAAAGCGCACGUAGGUGGUCUGUUAAGUCACGUGUGAAAUCCCCCGGCUCAACCGGGAAAUGGCGCGUGAUACUGGCAGGCUUGAGGCGGGUAGGGGUGAGCGGAACUCCAGGUGGAGCGGUGAAAUGCGUAGAUAUCUGGAGGAACACCGGUGGCGUAAGCGGCUCACUGGACCCGGUCUGACACUGAGGUGCGAAAGCUAGGGUAGCAAACGGG
This 253-nucleotide ribosomal RNA is filed under the name uncultured bacterium. RNAcentral describes it as "partial 16S ribosomal RNA". It matches the Rfam family "Bacterial small subunit ribosomal RNA", at positions 524 to 776 of the family's 1533-position model. The record is from RNAcentral.